Molecule: ribosomal RNA, 144 nt
Filed under: uncultured eukaryote
Lineage: Eukaryota
Description: partial 18S ribosomal RNA
Rfam family: Eukaryotic small subunit ribosomal RNA
Source: RNAcentral
UGGUGGAGUGAUUUGUCUGGUUAAUUCCGAUAACGAGCGAGACCUCAGCCUACUAACUAGUUAUAGGAAUCUUCGGGUUCUGUUCACGUAACUUCUUAGAGGGACUUUGGGUGCUUUAGCCCAAGGAAGUUUGAGGCAAUAACA